This is a long non-coding RNA of Dermacentor silvarum, 623 nucleotides long. RefSeq lists it as uncharacterized. The transcript is spliced from 2 exons. Lineage: Eukaryota; Metazoa; Arthropoda; Arachnida; Ixodida; Ixodidae. The record is from RefSeq and is a predicted model, not a curated record.
AACUACGGCAUUGUAACGGGCGCGAUGCUAGAGGGUCUACACGAAAAAUUAGUGGCCAAAUUUUUAAUUCUGAAGGACAUGAUGUACCCGCAAACGUGGCAAUCACAGAUUCUGUCGGUACACGUACGUUAUCAGUCACGCGGUUGCACCGAUAAAUGGCAAUAACACCUGCCGCAGAGAGCUCUUCCAGUGUUUCUGACGGACUCAGUCGAGAGUCCACACCACGCACUAUUCCCUUCGUGCAUGCCAUAUGAGGUGGAAUGAAAGCGUUCACCUUAAUGGAGCCAAACGAGGAACAUUUUAGUAGAUCUGCUACACAUGCCUCAUCUGGCGAUCUGCAGACGAUGCCUCCUCGUCCAAAUUGUCGAACGUCUGUGAUAUGCAGGUAGUGAUGAGUCACAGACUUAAGAUCCGCCUGAAUUGCUUGCGGGUUAUUGAUUCGAAUGGAGCCGCCAUUCAAAGGUACCAGCGCCACCGGAAUGCUGCUCACUCCACUACGAAAAAAGGCUUCUAGAGGCAUUUGAUUAGGAGGGACAGAAGCUGACCAGGGGCAGCGCCCCUGGCCAGGCGAGCUAUUCGUCAUGAGGACGAGCUGACUGUCUCAACCAAAACAGUACAGCCUU